GGUGCAGUUUCCAAUGGUGGGUUUGGAACCAAAGCUACUGGGCUCGAACAUAUUGUUCCUAGAAAUCUCACUCCAGCUUGGUACUGGACUGACAUGUAUUCUGCUGAGGUUAUUUUUCAUAACAGAAUGUUGAGCCAUAAGUGUAGGACUUUAGAUCCAGAAAAAGCAAAAGGUUUCUACAUUCCGUUUUAUGCUGGGCUUGAUAUUGGUAGAUUCUUGUUCAAUUAUUCAGCUAAACAUCGAGAUCAAAAAAGUGAAAUGCUUCUUGAUUGGUUAAAAGAGCAACCAACUUUCACUAGAAAUAAAGGAGUUGACCAUUUUAUUAUGCUUAGUAGAUUAACUUGGGAUUUUCGUAGAUUAACUGAUAAUGAUGCAGAUUGGGGUUCGAAAUUACUUCACAUGCCACUAAUGAGGC
This 415-nucleotide long non-coding RNA is filed under the name Nicotiana benthamiana. RNAcentral describes it as "long non-coding RNA (NBEN_LNC033501)". Lineage: Eukaryota; Viridiplantae; Streptophyta; Magnoliopsida; Solanales; Solanaceae. The record is from RNAcentral.